UGGGGAAUUUUCCGCAAUGGGCGAAAGCCUGACGGAGCAAUGCCGCGUGGAGGUGGAAGGCCUACGGGUCGUCAACUUCUUUUCUCGGAGAAGAAACAAUGACGGUAUCUGAGGAAUAAGCAUCGGCUAACUCUGUGC
RNAcentral lists this ribosomal RNA (138 nucleotides) under uncultured bacterium. RNAcentral describes it as "partial 16S rRNA". It matches the Rfam family "Bacterial small subunit ribosomal RNA", at positions 355 to 508 of the family's 1533-position model. The record is from RNAcentral.